UACAGAGGUCUCAAGCGUUGUUCGGAUUCAUUGGGCGUAAAGGUGCGUAGGUGGCGCCGUAAGUCGGGUGUGAAAUUUCGGAGCUUAACUCCGAAACUGCAUUCGAUACUGCGGUGCUUGAGGACUGGAGAGGAGACUGGAAUUCAUGGUGUAGCAGUGAAAUGCGUAGAGAUCAUGAGGAAGACCAGUGGCGAAGGCGGGUCUCUGGACAGUUCCUGACACUGAGGCACGAAGGCCAGGGGAGCAAACGGG
This 252-nucleotide ribosomal RNA is filed under the name uncultured bacterium. Its description in RNAcentral is "partial 16S ribosomal RNA". It matches the Rfam family "Bacterial small subunit ribosomal RNA", at positions 524 to 776 of the family's 1533-position model. The record is from RNAcentral.